RNAcentral lists this ribosomal RNA (159 nucleotides) under Chlorella pulchelloides. Its description in RNAcentral is "5.8S ribosomal RNA". It matches the Rfam family "5.8S ribosomal RNA". From Rfam's summary of the family: 5.8S ribosomal RNA (5.8S rRNA) is a component of the large subunit of the eukaryotic ribosome. It is transcribed by RNA polymerase I as part of the 45S precursor that also contains 18S and 28S rRNA. The record is from RNAcentral. Lineage: Eukaryota; Viridiplantae; Chlorophyta; Trebouxiophyceae; Chlorellales; Chlorellaceae.
CAACUCUCAACAACGGAUAUCUUGGCUCCCGUAUCGAUGAAGAACGCAGCGAAAUGCGAUACGUAGUGUGAAUUGCAGAAUUCCGUGAACCAUCGAAUCUUUGAACGCAAAUUGCGCCCGAGGCCUCGGCCGAGGGCAUGUCUGCCUCAGCGUCGGCUU